RNAcentral lists this ribosomal RNA (274 nucleotides) under uncultured bacterium. RNAcentral's name for it is "partial 16S ribosomal RNA". It matches the Rfam family "Bacterial small subunit ribosomal RNA", at positions 523 to 796 of the family's 1533-position model. The record is from RNAcentral.
AUACGGAGGGUGCAAGCGUUAAUCGGAAUUACUGGGCGUAAAGGGUUCGUAGGCGGUUAUUUAAGUCAGAUGUGAAAGCCCCGGGCUCAACCUGGGAAUUGCAUCUGAUACUGGGUAACUAGAGUUUAAGAGAGGAGUGUGGAAUUUCCGGUGUAGCGGUGAAAUGCAUAGAGAUCGGAAGGAACAUCAGUGGCGAAGGCGGCACUCUGGCUUAAAACUGACGCUGAGGAACGAAAGCGUGGGUAGCAAACAGGAUUAGAAACCCCGGUAGUCC